GAAGGUCGAAGGAAGAAAUUCAUUCGCGUAUAUCGAUGCUGACGAUUAAUGUUUUGGAUGACAAAGGGCGCGUUAUGCGCCACUUGCAUCCGUCGUUUUUCGAUUCAGUGACGAACGCGUGCACUUUUCUUCUGGUAGAACGUCGCGAUCCGUUGGGUGUCGGUCUACGAUUUGUAGUGGAGCUCAAAUGUUACACUGCAGCUGCUCUUGUGGUAGUUGUAUUGUGGACACGUUUGAACCUGCAUUUCUCCGACCGACUUACCUGACGGUAUACAAACGGUUUAGGGCCGCUCUAGGAGCGUUCGACUCCGGGCAAGCGCGCCAGCUGCUUCGAUGACCGGACCUCGUGCCGAUCACGAUCACUGGUGACUGUUGGCUCGGAUGUUCUCGAACCGACCCUGUUAAAGUCCAUUGGAAAAACCGAUCAGCGGCGCUAUAGCUUUGGGUACUUUCAGGACCCGUCUUGAAACACGGACCAAGGAGUCUAGCAUGUACGCAAGUCAUUGGGAUUAAUUAAACCUAAAGGCGAAAUGAAAGUAAAAAUUCCUCUUGUGGGAAUAGAGGGAAGACGAACAGUUUUACCAGUAAACGGUGGCUGAUCUGCAUUCCCGGGGCGUCUCAUUCUCAUUGCGAGAAGAGGCGCACCAAGAGCGUACACGCUGGGACCCGAAAGAUGGUGAACUAUGCCUGGUCAGGAUGAAGUCAGGGGAAACCCUGAUGGAGGUCCGUAGCGAUUCUGACGUGCAAAUCGAUCGUCGGAACUGGGUAUAGGGGCGAAAGACUAAUCGAACCAUC
RNAcentral lists this ribosomal RNA (795 nucleotides) under Scolytoplatypus tycon. RNAcentral's name for it is "eukaryotic LSU rRNA". It matches the Rfam family "Eukaryotic large subunit ribosomal RNA", at positions 437 to 944 of the family's 3401-position model. The record is from RNAcentral. Lineage: Eukaryota; Metazoa; Arthropoda; Insecta; Coleoptera; Curculionidae.